UUCCAAAAUGGUCGGAGGCACACCCCCAUCUGCAUGCCGCACUCCUCCAAAUGCGCAAUGACCUUUUCCAUCUGCACGACGCGCUCCUCGCAUUGCACGAUGCAGUGCUCAGAAUGCACGACGUUCUGAUGGCACCACUUGAGACUGGCCCUGUUGUAGCAUGAAGAAUCCCACCUGCCUCAUUCCUUCCUACUCGAACAGAUGGAUCGUAAAGGGUGACAAGAGCAGGAGAGCAGAGUGCCUGGAGAAGUCAUGCCUAGUCUCUGUAUUCUAGCUCAAAAGAGAUACUUGUCACUCUCUCUCAGAGUCAAUUGGCAAGAGCUGGUCACAUGGACACACCCGUGCAGGAAGACUGGGCGUUGAGGAAAAGCACGUGUAUGUUUGGCCUUCACAUCCACUCACCACUCUCUCAUGACUCACCCAGAGCAACUUCCAGUCCUGCAAGCUGCAUUUAUGGCACUUAAGAAACAGUAAGUGCAAGAAGGACACGCUGACCCUUUUUUGUCUUCCUGAAAGCGAGAGAGAAAACUGCCAUGUGAAAGUUUGAUUCUUAGGACAAGCCAGAGAUGCAAAGAGUGUAAAGGAGCAUUUUUCCUCCCCUCACCACUGACACCCUGGCCUCUGGGACCAGAAGCUGAGUCUCAUUUGGGCAUUCACAGAGCAAACAGGAAUGCUAGGGGCCCACAACUCCGCAGGCAGCUGAGGAGAGGCAGCAACAAGGCAUCAGACUCAUCUAUGCAGACAUUUCACGUUGGGACCUUGUGCCACUGCCCCUCAUCUCCUUAGGAGUAAUAAUUUGCUGAUUUUCUCCCAAGACGUGGGUGCUUUCGUCUGCAGUGGCCUCAGACCUCCCACAGCCAUCUGGAUCUUCCUCUCUCCUUUCCCACUGCCUCAGGGAAAAGGGGGAACGCGCCCACUGAUAUGUGCCAGCCUCUAUCUUUCCUCGUCCUUCAAAGCUCUGAACUAGAAAGGGUAGAUUCUUCAUACACUCUAAGUCCAUUCCUGGGUCUUGUCUUUUCCGGCAAGUAUGUACUCCGAGGCCUAAUAUGGCCUGGUUUUUGUGGUGUCAAAUUUAGUUAUUUCUCUUACUGUAAAAUGCAGGCAUAAAAGAAAAUUAUCAUCUCCCUAAAAGCAGUCAAAUUAGUGAACUGAAUAGUAAUCUCUUUAUUCUAGAGGAAACUUUCUUCUUCCUGGAGUGAUAGCUCAGCCUUCGAGCAUAAGGCUCUGAGGCUCAAUUGUUAGAAGAGAGUGAGCAAUAUUUAGACUCACAGUGUUAUUUUUAAGAUACUAAACAACUUUGCAAUAUAAAAAGUGAUCUUAAAUCAUUCACUUAUUUAAAUUUUUGUGGAUAUAAUUCAAUGGAGAAGGAAUCAUGUUUGAAAUCAUCCUUAUACCAAAUAAAUAUGUACAUGUAUUAGAUGUCUAUGAUUUAUGUGACAGCAUAGUUUGAUGGAAACAAUACAGACUGGGAGGUAUGUGCCCUGCUUUCUAGGUUUGUUCUGCUUUGUAGUUAUCUUUAAAGCCAAAUCUCUGCUAAAUCUAAUACACGAUGAUUCCAUAAAACACUUUUUAAAAAAAGUUUUAAUAUGAAUUUAUGUGAAUAAAGUUGUUUCUCUUCCAUGUAUCAGUAAGUCUUUUCUCUCUGAUUCAAGUCUUGCAUCAGGUAUGAUGCAUGUAGCGUGCCAACUUCAUGUGGCAACAAAUCGGGGGCAUCUCACUUAAUUGCAUUUUACCUUUUAU
Molecule: long non-coding RNA, 1740 nt
Filed under: Equus caballus (horse)
Lineage: Eukaryota; Metazoa; Chordata; Mammalia; Perissodactyla; Equidae
Description: lncRNA (ENSECAG00000041079.2)
Source: RNAcentral